Molecule: long non-coding RNA, 4062 nt
Filed under: Lupinus angustifolius (narrow-leaved blue lupine)
Lineage: Eukaryota; Viridiplantae; Streptophyta; Magnoliopsida; Fabales; Fabaceae
Description: long non-coding RNA (LANG_LNC003118)
Source: RNAcentral
UCAUUUCAAAUUCCAAUUCACUUUUCACUUUUCAUAUUUUUCACUUUUGUCCUUUCAACCACACAACCCCUUAGGCUUUCACCAGUCUCUCUUCAGUCUCUCUUCAUUUUUCUCUCUUCCCUUCUCCUCUAAACAGUAUAAGCCCAUAGACCUCAUCAAAACAAGAAUGGUUCCAAACAAUCUUUGAGAGAUAAGGGCAACAAAGAGAAUGAUGAAACUCAUGUACUUUUUUCCCACAUGGAUCUCUUCCAAAAUGUUAUAUUGAACUCGGGUACCUUUAUCUAUUUCUUGUUUUUUAGUUCAAUCUUUACUAACAAGGUAAUAUUUUUUUGGUCAUUUCUAUUAAGGGGUCUAGAUUGCUCCCCGUUGGAACAUGUGAUUAAGACUGCUCACGGCUAGAGCCCCCUCUUAUUACUUGACUCUUCCAUCUUUUUUUGCUUUUCAUUUUUACAUUUUACUAUUUUCAACCUAAAUCUCAUUCCUUUUGCUUGUUAUAUUUAAUUUCGUUUGUUGCAUGUUUAGAUCUACAACAAAAGAGUCAUGAGUUAUUCCAUUUUUAAUUUGUUUUAUUAUAUGGGUAAUUUGUUUGUAAAGAUGUGUAACAUGCCUUUAUUUUCUUUCAUUUCAUGUCUCUGUCUACUAUUUAGUUGUUGCUUAAAUAUUAUUUUACAAUUUUGAUUCAUUUACUAUGUGUACUACUCUAUAUAUUGAUAUAUUUGAAAGUUGUUUUGUGUUAUAUAAACAUAAUUUAUAAAAGAGCUUAUAAACUAAAAUAAACAAAAAUAUUCCCAAUUAAACAUAUUAUAUCACCAGUAAAUUUAUUGUCAUUAUUCUAUACUGAAAAUUGUUAUUAUAAUAACAAAAAUAACACUUUCACAUAAGAGUAGGAAAAAAUCUAGAAGAUCUAAUUGGUUGCAUUGAUCUCAAGUUAAUGAAAUUUACUGGUGCAUGAUGAAGUUUAUCUUUUUGAAUAACAAAUGUGUUCAGUUUAGAUUUCAAUUAUUAAAUAAAGUUAAGUAGAAUAUUUGAUCAAAAGCUCUAUGUUGUUUAUCAUAUUUGUCUUAUUUUUCUAGUUGAUUUUUGAGUCCUCCAAAUUAGGUACAUUAGUGAAUGAGUUUUGAGGGAAAAAAUUCAUGACAUGAAACCAAAUGGUGGGGUUUACUUUUUCCUAUUCAUAAGUCUACCCUAUAAUAUUUAUUUUGUUUAAAAAUUAUAAAACAAAAUUAUGAAAUGACAAAACUAGACACUCCAACUACUUGAUAUUUGUUGCUUAUGGGACACUUAAGUCCUUUGGGAAGAGGACACCAAAUUGCAUUUUUCUCUCUACAUAUCACACACCCUCUCUGCAAUUUUCUCUUCUCUCACACGUUACACUCUCUCACACAUCCCUUUUGAUAAAAAUCAACCACACUGUCCACCUAUGUGGAAGAGAUGAUGGGAUUAAUGUUAACUUAUGCACAAAAUCAUUUGGUUGAGAUUGUACGAAUAUGAUACUAAUUCUGUUCAGUGGCCAAAAGGCAAAUACAUAUGUGUUGUGCGCUUCGGCAAAAGGCAAACAUGUAUAUUUUUUAUUAUUACUUCAAAUCAAAAUUGUGACUUUUUAAAGUUGUAAAAUAGGUUUGUUAUUAUUAUUUUGAAAAUAAAAGUUGUAGUGUUAGACAUAGGUGUAUAACUAUGCAAUAGAAGUAUAUGUAUAUUACCUAAGGCACAUGUGGCUAGGGAAGAUAAGAAGGUUUUUCACUUGCUCCAAAUUUGACAGUUUCAUUAUUAACUAUUAAAAAUGCUAUGUCUAACUCUAUGCGAGAAGGAAAACUGAACUGAGAUAGAAAAACAAAGUCAUAGCUUUAAAGUAAUUUUUUUGUCAAGAUAAAAAGUUGAAAAUAUUCAGCAACUUACACUUUCUCUUAGCGCUAUUUGCUAACAAAACAAUUUAGUAUAUACAUAUAAGUAAAUAGCAAAUAGUAAUUACUUACAUCUUUUUGCAUACUUCAAAACAUGACUUCAACCAUUUUAUGAGCGCUUUCAACUACUAUAAAUUGUUGAUAUUUAGUAUAUAUAGUAGUUUUAUUAUAGGCAUCAAAUUCUUGAAGUUAUGAUGAGGUUUUUGGCCAUAAAAAGAAAACAAUUGAUUGGAUGAUCACCACAAUCAUAGUAAAAGGUUAAAUUAUUUGUGCAAAUUGUGGACAAGUUUAGUUACUUAGGAACACAAAAAAUAACUUCAUAUGCACUAACUUUACUAAAACACUAGCUAGCCUUUUCUGUACAACUACUACAUGCAAAGCAAGCUUUAAUUUAUUAUUUGAUUUUGUCAUCAUUUGCUCACUAAACCUUCUUUCUAGCAUGUUAUCCUCUUUCAACAUUGAUUUCUUACAAUUUUCUCAUCGAAGUGAUGGAGAAAAACAAUAAGUGAUGAGAAGGAAAUAAAAAUUGCGAAAGAACUUUAUUGUCAUUUGCUAUAUUUUAGUUAAACUUAUAUUGUUAGAUUUUUUAGUUUGUACUUCUAUAUAUUUUUUAGUUUGUACUUCUAUGUAAACAAUAAUAACAAUAGGAAAGAUCAAUAUAAAAGGCAUAAUAACAAUAAUAACUUCAUAUUAAUAUUAAACAUGCACAUUUAUGAUUGUAUGAAUUCGGAAUAUUAAAAACAACAAAAAUAGUAUAAAACAUAAAGAGCAUCAAUCUAAAAUAAAACACAAUGAUUUUAGAAUUAUACUAAUAUUGCACAUGUAAACACUCAUAUAUUUAAACAUAAUUAGUAUGAAUCUAAAACAGUGUUGCCUAAUUGCGGCCAUGGUGGCGCCAUGGCGGAUGGCGGUGGCAUUUUUUGGGCUACCGCCAUUAGCCAUUUGGAAAUUCCCGCCAUAUGGCUGUGUCCGCCUUUUGUAAAAAAAAUACUGUCAUGGCGGUGUGGCGGUGGCGGAAAUUUUCGUUUCUCGACAGUUUUUUUUAAAAAAUUGGGUUCGGAUAUGUUUUUUUGGGCUCAUUCCAUGUUUUAAAAAUUAAAACUCUUGGUCUUUCUAUUUUUGGAUCUUCUAUCUAUUGUCUCCCUCUCUCAAAACUUCCUCCUCUGCCUCCACUGUUCCACCGCCGCCGCCACUCUACCUUUAUUAACUCAUUUGCAUUGCUUUUCUUUUUCCUUAUUUUUAUUUAUCUUUUUUUCUAGUUUUCUCAUCUCUACAUCUAUUUUUUAAUUUUGUUUUCUUUUAUCUUUAUAAUAAUUUUUUUUUCAGAUUACUUUUUUUGUCCAUAUUAGUUUUUAUUUCCACUUUUUUUUGUGCAGAUUUUUUUUUUUAAUUUUGCUUUAUCAUAUAUUCAUAUUGCAUGGGGAGGAGGAGGAUAUUUAGAAAAUUAAAUCUUUUGCAUUUUAUAUUUGGGUUUUCCUUUGUUUUUAAUUGUGAAUGUUGACAAGACUUAUUAGUAUUGUUUAUAUUACUUAUUAGUCAUUUUUAUGAGACAUUAAUAUUUAAUGGUUUUUAUUAAACUUUAUGUUAUUGUUUGAUUUUUGUGUUAUUGUAUUUAUUAUUUUAUUUUUCCUAUUAUGUUAUAUUUUUUAUUUAUUUUUUUCAACCGCCAUGAUGACGUCCGCCAUUUGCCCGCAACGCCUUCAUGGCUGAAUUUUGGCAGCCGCCAUCUGCCAUGGGCAACACUGAUCUAAAAUAAAACAUAAUAAUUCGAAAGAUAUUCUAAAAAAAACCUUAUAAAUUUAUAUGAUAUUUAUAAACCUAAUCCAAAAAGAAUACGAUGCAUAAAAAAGUCUCUAUAUCUAUAUUUACUUUGUAGGCUUUUUUACUCAAACAAUUGUCUACAUGUAUAGUUUUUUUACAUAUUUUUCUUAACCAAUCUUUUUUUCAACAUGUAAAUCUCACACUCUUCGGUUUCAAAAGGUAGAAUGUAUUCCACCCUAUGCUUUUUCUAACUGGUAAAUCUCACCCUCCUCUUGUAGGUCAACACUCCUAUUGAAGAAUGCUACUAUUGAAACAUCCUGAAAUCUUAUAAAAAAUUACACUUUUGUUGAUAUUUUUCCAUUCAAUUUUUGAACGGCUAUGAUUGAUUACUUAUAUUUCA